CUCUACAGGGAUGUCAUGCAGGAGAACUAUGAGACUGUGACCUCCCUGGGGAUUCCAGUUUCCAAACCUGAUGUGAUCUCCCAGCUGGAACGAGGGGUAGAGCCGUGGGUCACAGACCUUCAGGGCUCUGAGAAACAAGUGCUUCCAAGAGCUGCCUGCACAGGUGAUGGGCUGGUGAGUGAGAAUGAGGAGGAGAAACCCCAGCAGGAAGAUGCUGAGCAA
Mauremys mutica (yellowpond turtle) is the source of this 222-nucleotide long non-coding RNA. RefSeq lists it as uncharacterized. The transcript is spliced from 3 exons. The record is from RefSeq and is a predicted model, not a curated record. NCBI's taxonomy places the organism in Eukaryota, Metazoa, Chordata, Testudines, Geoemydidae.